GCGCCUAUAGCUCAGCCUGGUAGAGCAGUUGCCUUUUAAGCAAACGGUCGCAGGUUCGAAUCCUGCUGGGCGCACCA
This 77-nucleotide transfer RNA is filed under the name Patescibacteria group bacterium. RNAcentral describes it as "tRNA-Lys". It matches the Rfam family "tRNA". Rfam says of the family: Transfer RNA (tRNA) molecules are approximately 80 nucleotides in length. The record is from RNAcentral.